This 644-nucleotide ribosomal RNA is filed under the name uncultured Rubrobacteria bacterium. RNAcentral's name for it is "bacterial SSU rRNA". It matches the Rfam family "Bacterial small subunit ribosomal RNA", at positions 338 to 974 of the family's 1533-position model. Lineage: Bacteria; Bacillati; Actinomycetota; Rubrobacteria. The record is from RNAcentral.
CCUACGGGAGGCAGCAGUGGGGAAUCUUGCGCAAUGGGCGGAAGCCUGACGCAGCAACGCCGCGUGUGGGAAGACGGCCUUCGGGUUGUAAACCACUUUCAGGGGGGACGAAGCUUCCGAGGUUAAUAGCCUACGGGGUGACGGUACCCCCAGAAGAAGCCCCGGCUAACUACGUGCCAGCAGCCGCGGUAAUACGUAGGGGGCGAGCGUUGUCCGGAAUCAUUGGGCGUAAAGCGCGUGUAGGCGGCUCGAUCAGUCUGGUGUGAAACCUUGGGGCUCAACCCCAAGCCUGCACUGGAUACUGUCGAGCUUGAGUCCGGGAGGGGAGAGCGGAAUUCCUAGUGUAGCGGUGAAAUGCGCAGAUAUUAGGAAGAACACCGGUGGCGAAGGCGGCUCUCUGGAACGGUACUGACGCUGAGACGCGAAAGCGUGGGGAGCGAACAGGAUUAGAUACCCUGGUAGUCCACGCCGUAAACGAUGGGCACUAGAUGUGGGCGGUGUCGACUCCGUCCGUGUCGAAGCUAACGCAUUAAGUGCCCCGCCUGGGGAGUACGGCCGCAAGGCUAAAACUCAAAGGAAUUGACGGGGGCCCGCACAAGCAGCGGAGCAUGUAGUUUAAUUCGACGCAACGCGAAGAACCUUAC